This 722-nucleotide ribosomal RNA is filed under the name uncultured bacterium. RNAcentral's name for it is "bacterial SSU rRNA". It matches the Rfam family "Bacterial small subunit ribosomal RNA", at positions 92 to 801 of the family's 1533-position model. The record is from RNAcentral.
CGAGCGGCGGACGGGUGAGUAACACGUGGGUAACCUGCCCAAGAGACUGGGAUAACACCUGGAAACAGAUGCUAAUACCGGAUAACAACACUAGACGCAUGUCUAGAGUUUGAAAGAUGGUUCUGCUAUCACUCUUGGAUGGACCUGCGGUGCAUUAGCUAGUUGGUAAGGUAACGGCUUACCAAGGCAAUGAUGCAUAGCCGAGUUGAGAGACUGAUCGGCCACAUUGGGACUGAGACACGGCCCAAACUCCUACGGGAGGCAGCAGUAGGGAAUCUUCCACAAUGGACGAAAGUCUGAUGGAGCAACGCCGCGUGAGUGAAGAAGGGUUUCGGCUCGUAAAGCUCUGUUGGUAGUGAAGAAAGAUAGAGGUAGUAACUGGCCUUUAUUUGACGGUAAUUACUUAGAAAGUCACGGCUAACUACGUGCCAGCAGCCGCGGUAAUACGUAGGUGGCAAGCGUUGUCCGGAUUUAUUGGGCGUAAAGCGAGUGCAGGCGGUUCAAUAAGUCUGAUGUGAAAGCCUUCGGCUCAACCGGAGAAUUGCAUCAGAAACUGUUGAACUUGAGUGCAGAAGAGGAGAGUGGAACUCCAUGUGUAGCGGUGGAAUGCGUAGAUAUAUGGAAGAACACCAGUGGCGAAGGCGGCUCUCUGGUCUGCAACUGACGCUGAGGCUCGAAAGCAUGGGUAGCGAACAGGAUUAGAUACCCUGGUAGUCCAUGCC